UUUGAUCAUGGCUCAGGAUGAACGCUAGCGACAGGCCUAACACAUGCAAGUCGAGGGAUAGUGUAGCAAUACACAAAACCGGCGCACGGGUGAGUAACGCGUAUGCAACCUACCUACAACAGGGGGAUAGCUUCCGGAAACGGAAAUUAACACCGCAWAAGACCACGGUACCGCAUGGUACAGUGUUAAAAAUUACGAUGGUUGUAGAUGGGCAUGCGUGACAUUAGAUAGUUGGUGAGGUAACGGCUCACCAAGUCGACGAUGUCUAGGGGUUCUGAGAGGAAGGUCCCCCACACUGGAACUGAGACACGGUCCAGACUCCUACGGGAGGCAGCAGUGAGGAAUAUUGGUCAAUGGACGCGAGUCUGAACCAGCCAUGUCGCGUGCAGGAUGACUGCCCUAUGGGUUGUAAACUGCUUUUGUACGGGAAGAAAACUAUCUACGUGUAGAUAAUUGCCGGUACCGUACGAAUAAGGAUCGGCUAACUCCGUGCCAGCAGCCGCGGUAAUACGGAGGAUCCGAGCGUUAUCCGGAUUUAUUGGGUUUAAAGGGUGCGUAGGCGGAAGAUUAAGUCAGUGGUGAAAGUUUGCAGCUUAACUGUAAAAUUGCCAUUGAUACUGGUUUUCUUGAGUACAGCUGAGGUAGGCGGAAUGUGGUGUGUAGCGGUGAAAUGCAUAGAUAUACCACAGAACACCGAUUGCGAAGGCAGCUUACUAAACUGUAACUGACGCUGAUGCACGAAAGCGUGGGGAUCAAACAGGAUUAGAUACCCUGGUAGUCCACGCUGUGAACGAUGAUCACUCGUUGUUUGCGAUAUACCGCAAGUGACCAAGCGAAAGCGAUAAGUGAUCCACCUGGGGAGUACGUUCGCARGAAUGAAACUCAAGGAUUUGA
Molecule: ribosomal RNA, 894 nt
Filed under: uncultured bacterium
Lineage: Bacteria
Description: bacterial SSU rRNA
Rfam family: Bacterial small subunit ribosomal RNA
Source: RNAcentral